RNAcentral lists this microRNA precursor (78 nucleotides) under Schistosoma haematobium. RNAcentral describes it as "mir-3492 microRNA precursor family". It matches the Rfam family "mir-3492 microRNA precursor family". The record is from Rfam by way of RNAcentral. Lineage: Eukaryota; Metazoa; Platyhelminthes; Trematoda; Strigeidida; Schistosomatidae.
AGCUUCCUGGAUCAAUGCAGAGAUUUCUUCAGACACCAACCCAUUACGACUGAUCAGACUUCCAAGAUAACUGAAGUU